GGACAGCCAGAAAUUGAGAGAGAAGGGGGUGAUAGAGAGGGAAAGAGACAGAAAGACACCUGCAGCCCUGAUUCACCACUUGCAAAGCUUUCCCUCUCCAGGUGGGGGCCAGGGACUUGAACCUGAGCCCUUGUAUAUUGUAACAUAUACUCUUGACCAGGUGUGUCACCACUUGGCCCCUCGAAAUAAUUUUUUCUAGGCCAAUAAGCAACUGCAUCUGCCUAGAGUACAAUUUCAGCAAAUUGAAAUUCAGAUAACUUCUCAAUAUAACUAAUCCAUUUGACACAAAAUGCAGACUAUCCAAUUGCCCAAUCUCCAAACACCAAGUUGAAUAAUGUUUUGCUACUGAUAGCAAAUCCCAGAGCAAUCAACAGUGAAAGAGAUUUGGGGAAUGGAGAAGGCUGGAAGGUAGAGGUCACCCCAACAACUGGCUAUAUGGGGGUAAGGGUUCCAGGAAAUGAAGGGAAAUUAGAGACACUCUGGCUCAUGUAAUUAACAUGAAUGGAAAUUGCUUCCUGAGAGUUAAGAGACAGUCCACUGUACAGAGUGUGUGGCUUGACAUGCAUGAGGCCUGAGUAUAAGCCCCAGAACCACAUGGGAGCAUCAAGGAAGAAACCACUGGGGAAGGUCUAUGUCUGGUGUAGUGGUGCUAUUGUCUCUCCUUUCUUUCCCCCUCUCAUUUUUCUUCUCUCUUUCAUUGUAGAAUGAAAAACAUAUUAAUAUGUAACAUAGAAUAAUAAAAAUAUUGCCUCAGCAAGACCAUUAUGAAGUGUUACGGUAUAGAAACAAGGUUCUGAGUUUAUUCCCACUACCAGUUAAAAUACUAUUUUAAGGCUGGGUAGGGGUGCGCCCAGUUGAGCAUACAUGCUACAACGUGGAAGGACCUGGGUUCGAGCCUCUGGUUCCCUCCUGCAGGGAGAAAGAUUUAUGAGCGGUAUAGCAGUGAUGCAGAUCUCUCCCUCUCCCCCCUCCAUUUUUUUUCUGUCUCUAUUCAACAAAUAAAUAAUUCAAAAAACGAUGGAUAAUUCCAAAGCUAACAGACUUGGGCAUCAAAAGAAGGGAGUUCCAGACUCCUGCUGACAAAAAUAGGAAGACCUUUAGAAAAGUAGCAUUUUCUGUGAUGGACACUCAACCUCUCCCAAAUGGAUCCUUUUGAGAAUGACCUUUCAUAGACCAAUAUUUUUAAAUUUCUGAUAGGGUGGUCUCACUCUGAUCCUGAAAACUAUCUUUUGACUUCAAAUUCUCUAGCUUCUUUAACUAACUAGUCUAUUAUUAUCUAUGUAUCUCAGAGGUGGUCAGGCUUAAGUGCCUAUUGUGAUUUUUUUCCCCAUCAGUUAUAAUUAUUUUAAUAUUGAUCUCAAGUUCUAAGCACCUUGCUCAAUCACUUCAUUUUAUACCAUGCAAAAUAUUUCAUAAAUCUUACCACUUCACUAAUUGUUUAUCUUAACUAAAGCAUAAAUGAUUCGUAUGAAAUGUAAAAAUGGCUAUGAGUUCAAAUAAAAUUUAAAGAUCAGAAUUUUCAAUCUAAAAAGCAAUGACUUGCUCAUUAGAGUCCUGUUUAAUGAUCAAUCAAACAUUUACUGCCUGAAUGACUGCUGUUAUUAAUAAACUUUUUCUUUGUUUUUAAUUGGACUAAAACAGAGAGGGGAGUAUUGUAUUACUGCUUAUGAAGUUUCCCCCCUGCAGGUAGUGGCUGAAGUCUUUAACAGAAGCUACCUGAUGCCUUUUCUGAAGUUAAGUUGAAGUGUAAGGAGAAAAUUACUGGCUGUUCUAAGAACACUUUCUAAGAUCAUUUGUAUCACACAAAGGCACUGCUACACAGCUGUAUGCCAGCUGCAAGGACCUCAACUAACCACCAGAAAUUUUAAAUAUCUAGGGAAGAUAUUUUCGGAGCUGGACCAUGAUUAUUGCUACCAUUGGAAUUAUGUAUUACAGGGGCAUACACACAGCCACAAGGGCAUGAAGACAGAGGCUUCACAUGACCAAAAAGCAUUGUCAGCAAGCACCAGAAGCUGAAAGAGGCAAGAAACAGACUUGCCUGAUACCCCUCAAGGGGCAUGACCUGCUGAUGUUUUCAUUGUAGAGGAAUGGGCUUUGGAUAUUUGCCCUUCAUGACUAAUAGUGAAUAAAUACCUGUUGUUUCAAUUCA
This is a long non-coding RNA of Erinaceus europaeus (western European hedgehog), 2149 nucleotides long. RefSeq lists it as uncharacterized. The transcript has 2 exons. The record is from RefSeq and is a predicted model, not a curated record. NCBI's taxonomy places the organism in Eukaryota, Metazoa, Chordata, Mammalia, Eulipotyphla, Erinaceidae.